This is a small nucleolar RNA of Bison bison bison, 126 nucleotides long. Lineage: Eukaryota; Metazoa; Chordata; Mammalia; Artiodactyla; Bovidae. The record is from Ensembl.
UUGCACGUGGAAGUGUCUUCUCCUCAUUCCUGUGGAAGCAGGAAUACAUGCUACAUUAAAAAAGGAGUUCUCAGGGCUGCCAGCCUUACAGUAGAAGUUGAGUAGUAGUAUAUUUCUCCUGCAUUA